Long non-coding RNA from Haliotis rufescens (red abalone), 219 nucleotides. RefSeq lists it as uncharacterized. The record is from RefSeq and is a predicted model, not a curated record. Lineage: Eukaryota; Metazoa; Mollusca; Gastropoda; Lepetellida; Haliotidae. The transcript has 3 exons.
AUAACGGAGAUGGAAGAUCUACUUGCAAGGCUGCUGACACAUGCCUUGAAACGCCUUGUCAGAAUGCUGGGAUAUGCACAAGUAAUGCGACCAACUUCUAUUGUAGAUGUCUGCUCGGAUAUUCUGGUCCUUUGUGUGUAAAAAAAUGUGAGCAACAAAAAAAUGGACAUUCUUCUCAUAGAGGACGUCUCGUCAUCAAUCUCUAAAGAGGAAUAAAGG